UGUUAAAAUUUGAUUCAUUUGUCCUAUUAAAAACUGACACGGCUGACAAAAUAAGCAUACAAUGACAUGUGACAUGUCAUGUGUACCUUACGGUGACUAGUUUUUAACCGUAGAAAUGAAUUAAAUUUUUAAUA
Gossypium hirsutum (cotton) is the source of this 134-nucleotide non-coding RNA. NCBI's taxonomy places the organism in Eukaryota, Viridiplantae, Streptophyta, Magnoliopsida, Malvales, Malvaceae. The record is from Rfam.